Molecule: long non-coding RNA, 11793 nt
Filed under: Xyrichtys novacula (pearly razorfish)
Lineage: Eukaryota; Metazoa; Chordata; Actinopteri; Labriformes; Labridae
Source: RNAcentral
UUUCUACUUGUUCUUCGAUUUUACUGAUGACUUUUAAAGCUCCCCAUUGCUUUUUUUCAGCUAGAACAUCUGAUAGUGCUGUUUGAGCUGACACAUACAAGAUCCAUCUGCUGAGAUCUGUGCCUUAGCAGUGAAGGAUCAAAACUCUCAUGAAUCAGUCUGCCAAAGGGGAUCAGGUCUGCUUGGGAACUCAUCUCUUAAAUUUUCCUGAACACUUUUAUUUGUGAGUCAGUCCUGAUCUUACACAAUAUUGGGGUCUAUCAAAUUUAUCUCCUACAGUUCUGUUGUAUUUUGCUGUCUGCGUUGUGCACUGUAUAUGGGAUUUUGAUGGUCGAUAAAGUGAAGUUUAUCAUUAUAUAUAAUAAUCAGAAGGAUAUUAGUGUUAGAUUUAAAAAAAACGGAUUCCCGAUGACGAACAUCAGUACUCUGAUCAGACGCAACGACGGUCUUUGUAACCACUAAGGGGCACUGCUGCACAGGAAACUCCGUAAGUCUUAAUAUACAAGCAUGUAGUUCCUGCUGUGGGCCAACAGGAGGCGCAGCGAAAAUUUGAAUUUUGUUUUCUAUAUAUACUUAUUCAUUGACUGAUUGGUCAUCAUUUUGAAUCAUGAAGCUUCCUCUGCUGCUGCUCUGCUCUGUGCUGCUGCUCUCCAUCUCAGGUCUGUCUCUUUUUAAAGGUUUAUUUAUCACAUGUUUAAGCUACAGAGUCAAAACUCUUUACUGGCCAAAGUACCAACUUGAAGAGCUCCAAACUGAUUGAACCUCAAACUGACCACAGUUACUCUGCUGUCACUGUGAUGAUUAAUCUUGGAACAGAGCUCAGAUUAAAGGCCAGUGGAAAAAAGUUUUUUGGACUUUAGGAUUCAUUAAGGGAAUUAUUCAUUCAUGGACAUGUUGAUUUAUGAUGAAUAGAGUGUAAACACAGAUUAGUGUGUUUAUUUUUGUUUGCUUUAACAUGUUUUUUGUUUUUUUACAGACAGACUGUGACAUUAAUGUGUUAACUAUGAACUGUUUCUGACUAUGAUCUAAGUAUGCAUUACUGAACUCCAUUAAUCAGGACUGAAAUUCUAUCUUCAUAAGGGAAAAGGCUGUGAGAUGAAAUAGUUCCUCUUUCACAGGUUGUCAACCUCACUUCAGGUCCUUUUUACAGAGACAGAAAAGAUGCAGAGUGAUGAUCUGCUGGGUCACAUUUCUGAGCCAAACACUGUGACAUCUUCCCAUUGUUCUCUAAUGAAUGUGUUUGUGUGUCUUCAGAGAUACGGACUGAUAUUAGAUUGUUUUUUUAUCCAGUUUUCUCAUAGAGGAGGCUUUGGUUUUUUCUCUCAGUCCAUGUGACCGUUUUACAGCAAUAAAACAUAGCUUUAAGCUCCACCACAGUGAGCAAUAAUCAUUGGAGGACAGUAAAGAAUUGUAUUUAGUCUCCUCAAAGAAUAAUACUACAGCGAAUACUCAAAAAUGGACUUUGCCAUGACCGACAUUAACACACAACAGGUGGAUAUUUUUUCCCACCUUAUUGUUCACAGGUUGUAACCUUAGAACCUUGCUUCUCUUCACACACCUGACUGUUGUCUACUGUAUUAUUUAGAAAAUUAAAAAAAUUAGACCGGUCCCUUUUAAAGCUUUAAAUCUCUUCUCUGACAGAAAAGCCACACCUGCCACAUUCAUCUACAGAUUAUUACUGAGAUAGGAGUCACUCUCUGUUCAAUUGAAUCUCAUGUGUAAUGUGUGUACGUGCAUGCGUGCAUUUGUGUGUGUGUGUGUGUGUGUGUGUGUGUAGUCCUGUCUCAGGAAAAUGAGGGUCCAGCUGACGGACAAGGAGACUGUGCUGAACCCUGGGCGGUAAGACUCAGAAACACACACAUUAACACACUAAUACUCAUGCAGAGCUCAGAGGAGUGGUGUGUUUCCGUUGAUGUUAAGUUGUAAACAUGAUUUUGUCACUUCUAAACCUUCUGGGGUGAAUUUACCAAGAACAGAGUGGAGUUGCCUUUUGUACCAUGAGUUGUGCAUCAUUUGUGUAGGGGAAUCUCUUCAUACAUUUAGGUUAAGAAAUAUAGAGUAAUUAUCUUUUAGUAAGAAGCUACAAAUAAUCUAGGUUGGCCUGCUCCUGCAGCCCCACGACCAUGAGAUUGUAAGCAAGGCUGUCUUGCAGGAGCCCGAACUAUCUGUCUGUUGGAACAUUUAAUCUCUGCCAGGGUCAAGACGAACCUAAACAAAGUGUCGUGGGGCAGACAUGUCAUCAUGAGGGGCCUUCUGGAGAAUUCACAUACACACACACACACACACACACACACACACACACACACACACACACACACACACACACACACACACACACACACACAGGAUAAAAGGGAGUAGAAGAAAAGCUAGGGAGGCUUCCUUCGGUCUUGGUCGAGACUCUGUUUGUCAUCUGUACCGAUUUCUACAUCUGUACUAUUAAAGACGCCCCAGGCUGUUCUUCAGAUCUCAUCCUGUCUCCUGUGCACUGUUUUACUAAGUUUAUGCUGGACUUUCUACAACAUUUGCCUCUGCUCUGAGCUCCAUCUCCACCACUCAUGUACAUUUGUGUAGUAAUUAAAGGCUACAAAUUUAUUGAUGAGAUGUGUGUGUGUGUUUUUGCAUGUGUGUGUGCGUGUGUGUUUUAUCCAGGCCCGUUGUGAGAAAUACAACUUACCUAUCUGCCAUCGGGAUCUUAACCCUGUUUGUGGUGAUGAUGGGGAAACCUACAGUAACGAGUGUACACUCUGUUUUCGCAACUUGUAAGAUGUGCGCACACACACGCACGCACACACACACACACACACACACACACACACACACACACACACACACACACACACACACACACACACACACACACAAAUCUGCUCUUUCAAUCCUUUCUACCUGUUAAGGUAAUUCGUGGAGACAGUUGAUUACUGGACAGCUGACCAGUAACUUCUGCUCUGAGAUCAAUCUGAUGUUUUCAUCCAUUGUCUGUGCUCUUACUGAGCUCAGAUCAAUGGAUGGCUUAGUUUGAGCAGAGAGAGCAGUGUGUUGUUAGCAUGCAGAUGGAUCACGAUGGCUGCAUCAUUGAGUUUAAAGAGAUUUUAGGGUGAACAGGUUGUAUUUCUGUGAGUUGGGCUCUUUUAUGCUCUAGUGAGACUUUAUGAGAUUCUGGAUACAUGAUUUUGGCCAGUAUGCAGUAUGUCUCCAGAAAAUAAAAACAGGCUGAGAGAGGAACCCUGAGGAACACCAUACUGAGGUUUAUCAGAGAGACAGAAAAACUCCUGUCAGAGAUAUAUUUACAGUCUAUAGCUCCCACACUCUGAUUUCUCAAAGACUAGUUUUACAAUAUUCGUAUUAACUCCACACACACAUUUCAAAUGUAAAAACUAACUCCUUGAAUAUUCUGUUUUUUUUUGUUUUGUUUUUGUUUUUCUACAGGGAGAAUCACGCCACUGUGAAAAUUCUGAGAGAAGGGAAAUGCGAUUAACUGCUGUGUGCCACACACAUGCACACACAUACUGAAUAAAGUCUCAUACUGAUUCCCUCACACCCUCUGUCUGUGUGUUUAUUUCACUUGAACUCUGAAGAUAAAGCAGACUCUGAAACACUAAUCUCCAUGUUUGGAGCUCGACCACCUACCUCAUGUUUUUGCCUGUUCAGACCCAACAGUAAAUUAAUGAAUAACUCUGAGAAACAACAAAACACUGCGCUGUUAGGAUAAAAUAUUACCUUACACCCACAAACAUUUUACAUAACAAAACAACAAAUGUUAACAAAAUCUGUAUUGGAAAACACGCAAAGAAUAAAGAAAAUAUUAAAAUGUUUAAGAAAAACAAAAACUUUUUGAAAACAAAAAUAUUUUGGAAACAGAUAUUUUCAAAACACAAGGGAACUUUGAUAAAGGAAAAAAUAUUAUAAAACCAUUAAAAUUGUUUAUAAAAUGCAAAUUUUGGAACCAUGAAAAUAUUUUGAAAACACAAAUAAAUUUGUAAAUACAAAAAUAUUUUAAAAAACAAAAAUAGUUAUGAGAAAACACUAUAAUACUUAAGAGUAUAAAAAAAAUUUAUCUUACCUAAAAAUGUUCUGCUCUCAAAAUGUUUUGCUGCCAAAGGGGUAGGGGUAGGGCCAAACCACUUGAUUGUGAUGGGACAAAAUUGAGGUGCUGAAGUAUUUAACAUUUUUGUAUUUUCAAAAUAUAUUUGCUUUUUUAAUUAUUAUUCCUUUUUUUUGCUGAGAUCUGUGCCUUAGCAGUGAAGGAUCAAAACGCUCAUGAAUCAGUCUGCCAAAGGGGAUCAGGUCUGCUUGGGAACUCAUCUCUUAAAUUUUCCUGAACACUUUUAUUUGUGAGUCAGUCCUGAUCUUGCACAAUAUUGGGGUCUAUCAAAUUUAUCUCCUACAGUUCUGUUGUAUUUUGCUGUCUGCGUUGUGCACUGUGUAUGGGAUUUUGAUGGUCUAUUAAGUGAAGUUUAUCAUUAUAUAUAAUAAUCAGAAGGAUAUUAGUGUUAGAUUUAAAAAAAACGGAUUCCCGAUGACGAAUUUCAGUACUCUGAUCAGACGCAACGGUCGUUGUAACCACUAGGGGGCACUGCUGCACAGGAAACUCCGUAAGUCUUAAUAUACAAGCAUGUAGUUCCUGCUGCGGGCCAACAGGAGGCGCAGCGAAAAUUUGAAUUUUGUUUUCUAUAUAUACUUAUUCAUUGACUGAUUGGUCAUCAUUUUGAAUCAUGAAGCUUCCUCUGCUGCUGCUCUGCUCUGUGCUGCUGCUCUCCAUCUCAGGUCUGUCUCUUUUUAAAGGUUUAUUUAUCACAUGUUUAAGCUACAGAGUCAAAACUCUUUACUGGCCAAAGUACCAACUUGUAAAACUCUAAACUGAUUGAACCUCAAACUGACCACAGUUACUCUGCUGUCACUGUGAUGAUUAAUCUUGGAACAGAGCUCAGAUUAAAGGCCAGUGGAAAAAAGUUUUUUGGACUUUAGGAUUCAUUAAGGGAAUUAUUCAUUCAUGGACAUGUUGAUUUAUGAUGAAUAGAGUGUAAACACAGAUUAGUGUGUUUAUUUUUGUUUGCUUUAACAUGUUUUUUUGUUUUUUACAGACAGACUGUGACAUUAAUGUGUUAACUAUGAACUGUUUCUGACUAUGAUCUAAGUAUGCAUUACUGAACUCCAUUAAUCAGGACUGAAAUUCUAUCUUCAUAAGGGAAAAGGUUGUGAGAUGAAAUAGUUCCUCUUUCACAGGGUGUCAACCUCACUUCAGGUCCUUUUUACAGAGACAGAAAAGAUGCAGAGUGAUGAUCUGCUGGGUCACAUUUCUCUGAGCUAAACACUGUGACAUCUUCCCAUUGUUCUCUAACGAAUGUGUUUGUGUGUCUUCAGAGAUACGGACUGAUAUUAGAUUAUUUUUUAUCCAGUUUUCUCAUAGAGGAGGCUGUGGUUUUUUCUCUCAGUCCAUGUGACCGUUUUACAGCAAUAAAACAUAAAUUUAUGCUCCACCACAGUGAGCAAUAAUCAUUGGAGGACAGUAAAGAAUUGUAAUAAGUCUCCUCAAAGAAUAAUACUCCAGCGAAUACUCAAAAAUGGGACUUGGCCAUGACCGACAUUAACACACAACAGGUGGAUAUUUUUUCCCACCUUAUUGUUCACAGCUUGUAACCUUAGAGCCUUGCUUCUCUUCACACACCUGACUGUUGUCUACUGUAUUAUUUAGAAAAUUAAAAAAAUUAGACCGGUCCCUUUUAAAGCUUUAAAUCUCUUCUCUGACAGAAAAGCCACACCUGCCACAUUCAUCUAAAGAUUAUUACUGAGAUAGGAGUCACUCUCUGUUCAAUUGAAUCUCAUGUGUAAUGUGUAUACGUGCAUGCGUGCAUUUGUGUGUGUGUGUGUGUGUGUGUGUGUGUAGUCCUGUCUCAGGAAAAUGAGGGUCCAGCUGACGGACAAGGAGACUGUGCUGAACCCUGGGCGGUAAGACUCAGAAACACACACAUUAACACACUAAUACUCAUGCAGAGCUCAGAGGAGUGGUGUGUUUCCGUUGAUGUUAAGUUGUAAACAUGAUUCCGUCACUUCUAAACCUUCUGGGGUGAAUUCACCAAGAACAGAGUGGAGUUGCCUUUUGUACCAUGAGUUGUGCAUCAUUUGCCUCUGCUCUGAGCUCCAUCUCCACCACUCAUGUACAUUUGUGUAGUAAUUAAAGGCUACAAAUUUAUUGAUGAGAUGCGUGUGUGUGUGUUUUUGCGUGUGUUUUUGUGUGUGCGUGUGUGUUUUAUCCAGGCCCAUUGUGAGAAAUACGACUUACCUUACUGCUUUAAGGUUUAUAACCCUGUUUGCGGUGAUGAUGGCGUAACCUACAGUAACGAGUGUACACUCUGUUUUCACAACUUGUAAGAUGUGCACACACACACACACACGCACGCACGCACAACCACACACACACACACACACACACACACACACACACACACACACACACACACACACACACACACACACACACACACACAAAUCUGCUCUUUCAAUCCUUUUCUACCUGUUAAGGUAAUUCGUGGAGACAGUUGAUUACUGGACAGCUGACCAGUAACUUCUGCUCUUAGAUCAAUCUGAUGUUUUCAUCCAUUGUCUGUGCUCUUACUGAGCUCAGAUCAAUGGAUAGCUUAGUUUGAGCAGAGAGAGCAGUGUGUUGUUAGCAUGCAGAUGGAUCAUGAUGGCUGCAUCAUUGAGUUUAAAGAGAUUUUAGGGUGAACAGGUUGUAUUUCUGUGAGUUGGGCUCUUUUAUGCUCUAGUGAGACUGUGAGAUUCUGGAUACAUGAUUUUGGCCAGUAUGCAGUAUGUCUCCAGAAAAUAAAAAGAGGCUGAGAGAGGAACCCUGAAGAACACCAUACUGAGGUUUAUCAGAGAGACAGAAAAACUCCUGUCAGAGAUAUAUUUACAGUCUAUAGCUCCCACACUCUGAUUUCUCAAAGACUAUUUUUACAAUAUUCGUAUUAACUCCACACACACAUUUCAAAUGUAAAAACUAACUCCUUGAAUGUUCUGGGGGUUUUUUUGUUUGUUUUUCUACAGGGAGAAUCACGCCACUGUGAAAAUCCUGAGAGAAGGGGAAUGCGAUUAACUGCUGUGUGCCACACGCAUGCACACACAUACUGAAUAAAGUCUCAUACUGAUUCCCUCACACCCUCUGUCUGUGUGUUCAUUUCACUUGAACUCUGAAGAUAAAGCAGCGUCUGAAACACUGAUCUCCAUGUUUGGAGCUCGACCACCUACCUCAUGUUUUUACCUGUUCAGACCCAACAGUAAAUUAAUGAAUAACUCUGAGAAACAUCAAAACACUGCGCUGUUAGGAUAAAAUAUUACCUUACACCCACAAACAUUUUACAUAACAAAACAACAAACAUUAACAAAAUCUGUAUUGGAAAACACACAAAGAAUAAAGAAAAUAUUAAAAUGUUUAAGAACAACAAAAACAUUUUGAAAACAAAAAUAGUUGGAAACAGAUAUUUUCAAAACAUAAGAGAACUUUGAUAAAGGAAAAAAUAUUGUAAAACCAUUAAAAUUGUUUAUAAAACGCAAAUCUUGGAACCAUGAAAAUAUUUUGAAAACACAAAUAAAUUUGUAAAUACAAAAAUAUAUAAAAAAAAAAAAAUAGUCAUGAGAAAAAACAAUAAUACUUAAGAGUAUAAAGAAAAAUUCUCUUACCUAAAAAUGUUCUGCUCUCAAAAUAUUUUGCUGCCAAAGGGGUAGGGGUAGGGCCAAACCACUUGAUUGUGAUGGGACAAAAUUGAGGUGCUGAAGUAUUUAACAUUUUUGUAUUUUCAAAAUAUAUUUGCUUUUUUAAUUAUUAUCACCUUUUUUUUAAUUAGUGUUGAUCUGUGGUUUAAAAAUCGGUCUGCUUUUUAUACAAAGUACUAGGGCCGAAAGUCUGUUGAUCCUGGAGAAUUCUCAGAUAUUAACCCAUUCAGACAGCACAUUUACAUGUUGUUCAAAAGUUAGGAUUUUUGCCUUAGUUGGACUGGGACUGGACCUCUGGUAUUUUGGCCUCCUGUGUGGAAUAGAUAAUUCACAAAAAUAAAGUUGAUUUAACUCUAUAGCUCCUGGAACUCACUAUGCAACAUGUACCUGCCCUCCUCAAAGCAUGUGUCAUGUCCUUUGUUGCAGCAUUUCUUAUUUCUUAAUUUCCUGUUUUUUUUGUCCUGUCAUAUGUUUUUGUGUAACUGUAGCCUAGUACUUUUGAAAAGUCAUCAGUGAAAAAAAAAAGGUGCAUCCUCUCUCGGAUCAAUGUGAAAGUGCAUUUUUAAAACUGUAACAAAACAAACUCCAACCACAGUAUGAAGAAACUGAAAAGAAACAAACUAUAAAGUCAGUUGAACAGAGAAGAAGAAGACGACCUUUAUUGAUCCCCGAGGGGAAAUUCAUUGAGAUAUAUAAUAUAUAAUAUACCCCUCAGAGCAGGUGUACAUUAGUUUUACUUUAAAUACAUGCUAUAUGAUCUUUGUCUGUUUUUAAGGUUUAUAAAAUAAAGGGUGUCACAUUUAUUUAUUUACCACUAACCCUAACCAAUAACAAUGUAAUCAACAAAUUAUUAAAAGUGUUUCAUAGUUUUAUUAAAAGGUCUUUAUACCCAGCAUAAUUUAAAAUGAUUAAAUUCUGGAAGUCGUCAAGCUUCCUGUGUUUAUCUAAAGCAAUGUUUUUACAUGCAUAUCAAUCACGUUUAACAUAACUGUAAUAUAUGGUGUCAUCUCUCCUGUUUAAGCUUCUUUGAACCGGCUUUCUACUUGUUCUUCGAUUUUACUGAUGACUUUUAAAGCUCCCCAUUGCUUUUUUUCAGCUAGAACAUCUGAUAGUGCUGUUUGAGCUGACACAUACAAGAUCCAUCUGCUGAGAUCUGUGCCUUAGCAGUGAAGGAUCAAAACUCUCAUGGAUCAGUCUGCCAAAGGGGAUCAGGUCUGCUUAGUAACUCAUCUCUUAAAUUUUCCUGAACACUUUUAUUUGUGAGUCAGUCCUGAUCUUACACAAUAUUGGGGUCUAUCAAAUUUAUCUCCUACAGUUCUGUUGUAUUUUGCUGUCUGCGUUGUGCACUGUAUAUGGGAUUUUGAUGGUCUAUUAAGUGAAGUUUAUCAUUAUAUAUAUUAAUCAGAAGGAUAUUAGUGUUAGAUUUAAAAAAAAACGGAUUCCCGAUGACGAACAUCAGUACUCUGAUCAGACGCAACGGUCUUUGUAACCACUAAGGGGCACUGCUGCACAGGAAACUCCGUAAGUCUUAAUAUACAAGCAUGUAGUUCCUGCUGCGGGCCAACAGGAGGCGCAGCGAAAAUUUGAAUUUUGUUUUCUAUAUAUACUUAUUCAUUGACUGAUUGGUCAUCAUUUUGAAUCAUGAAGCUUCCUCUGCUGCUGCUCUGCUCUGUGCUGCUGCUCUCCAUCUCAGGUCUGUCUCUUUUUUAAGGUUUAUUUAUCACAUGUUUAAGCUACAGAGUCAAAACUCUUUAAUGGCCAAAGUACCAACUUGUAAAGCUCCAAACUGAUUGAACCUCAAACUGACCACAGUUACUCUGCUGUCACUGUGAUGAUUAAUCUUGGAACAGAGCUCAGAUUAAAGGCCAGUGGAAAAAAGUUUUUUGGACUUUAGGAUUCAUUAAGGGAAUUAUUCAUUCAUGGACAUGUUGAUUUAUGAUGAAUAGAGUGUAAACACAGAUUAGUGUGUUUAUUUUUGUUUGCUUUAACAUGUUUUUUGUUUUUUACAGACAGACUGUGACAUUAAUGUGUUAACUAUGAACUGUUUCUGACUAUGAUCUAAGUAUGCAUUACUGAACUCCAUUAAUCAGGACUGAAAUUCUAUCUUUAUAAGGGAAAAGGCUGUGAGAUGAAAUAGUUCCUCUUUCACAGGUUGUCAACCUCACUUCAGGUCCUUUUUACAGAGACAGAAAAGAUGCAGAGUGAUGAUCUGCUGGGUCACAUUUCUGAGCCAAACACUGUGACAUCUUCCCAUUGUUCUCUAACGAAUGUGUUUGUGUGUCUUCAGAGAUACGGACUGAUAUUAGAUUGUUUUUUUAUCCAGUUUUCUCAUAGAGGAGGCUGUGGUUUUUUCUCUCAGUCCAUGUCACCGUCUUACGGCAAUAAAACAUAGCUUUAAGCUCCACCACAGUGAGCAAUAAUCAUUGGAGGACAGUAAAGAAUUGUAUUUAGUCUCCUCAAAGAAUAAUACUACAGCGAAUACUCAAAAAUGGACUUUGCCAUGACCUACAUUAACACACAACAGGUGGAUAUUUUUUCCCACCUUAUUGUUCACAGCUUGUAACCUUAGAGCCUUGCUUCUCUUCACACACCUGACUGUUAUCUACUGUUUUAUUUAGAAAAUUAAAAAAUUAGACCGGUCCCUUUUAAAGCUUUCAAUCCCUUCUCUGACAGAAAAGCCACACCUGCCACAUUCAUCUACAGAUUAUUACUCAGAUUGGAGUCACUCUCUGUUCAACUGAAUCUGAUGUGUAAUGUGUAUACGUGCAUGCGUGCAUGUGUGUGUGUGUGUGUGUGUGUGUGUGUAGUCCUGUCUCAGGAAAAUGAGGGUCCACCUGAUGGACAAGGAGACUCUGCUGAACCCUGGGCGGUAAGACUCAGAAACACACACAUUAACACACUAAUACUCAUGCAGAGCUCAGAGGAGUGGUGUGUUUCCGUUGAUGUUAAGUUGUAAACAUGAUUUCGUCACUUCUAAACCUUCUGGGGUGAAUUUACCAAGAACAGAGUGGAGUUGCCUUUUGUACCAUGAGUUGUGCAUCAUUUGCCUCUGCUCUGAGCUCCAUCUCCACCACUCAUGUACAUUUGUGUAGUAAUUAAAGGCUACAAAUUUAUUUAUGAGAUGCGUGUGUGUGUGUGUUUUUGCGUGUGUUUUUGUGUAUGUGUUUUUGUGUUUUAUCCAGGCGCAUUGUGAGAAAUACAAAUUACCUUACUGCCAUCGGGAUUAUAACCCUGUUUGUGGUGAUGAUGGCGUAAUCUACAGUAACGAGUGUACACUCUGUUUUCACAACUUGUAAGAUGUGCACACACACACACACACACACACACGCACGCACGCACGCACGCAGGCACACACACACACACACACACACACACACACACACACACACACACACACACACACAAAUCUGCUCUUUCAAUCCUUUCUACCUGUUAAGGUAAUUCCUUGAGACAGCUGAGUUCUCAGAGUUUUUUUGUGACCACUAAUAUCUGCUCUGAGAUCAAUCUGAUGUUUUCAUCCCAUUGUCUUUGCUCUUACUGAGCUCAGAUCAAUGGAUAGCUUAGUUUGAGCAGAGAGAGCAGUGUGUUGUUAGCAUGCAGAUGGAUCACGAUGGCUGCAUCACCGAGUUUAAAGAGAUUUUAGGGUGAACAGGUUGUAUUUCUGUGAGUUGGGCUCUUUUAUGCUCUAGUGAGACUUUGUGAGAUUCUGGAUACAUGAUUUUGGCCAGUAUGCAGUAUGUCUCCAGAAAAUAAAAAGAGGCUGAGAGAGGAACCCUGAGGAACACCAUACUGAGGUUUAUCAGAGAGACAGAAAAACUCCUGUCAGAGAUAUAUUUACAGUCUAUAGCUCCCACACUCUGAUUUCUCAGACUAGUUUUAUAAUAUUCGUAUUAACUCCACACACACAUUUCAAAUGUAAAAACUAACUCCUUGAAUAUUGUUCAAGAUUUUUUUUUUGUUUUUCUACAGGGAGAAUCACGCCACUGUGAAAAUCCUGAGAGAAGGGAAAUGCGAUUAACUGCUGUGUGCCACACACAUGCACACACAUACUGAAUAAAGUCUCAUACUGAUUCCCUCACA